GGGGCCGACUGGUUUUGACAGCGAGAUCAAUUGGAAUGUAAGCAUGCCGAGCGCUGGGCUACAGCUCGUAAAUCUCAUUUUCCACACUUUUUAAUUGGCGAAAAUAACUACGCUCUUGCCGCUUAAUCUGAAUCAUAGUAAGAUUAGCCUCGUCCCUACAAGGUAGGGAAGCGAGAUGUUUCUGGGAUGCCCUUGUUGACGGCGACCCAAUCAGAAGCACCAGAAAAGUCGACAUAAGGAUGUUGUUUCUUUGCCAACAUCACGAAAACUGAAAAAGAUAAGGAUGCAUUAGGCCGUUUCUGGUCAGGUGUGUUUCGAAAAUCAAGCAGAAACUAAGCAUGUAGAAAGCCUUGUAAUUGCUUGUUUGGACGAGGGUUCGAAUCCCUCCGGCUCCACUU
Molecule: non-coding RNA, 398 nt
Organism: Arenibacter nanhaiticus
Lineage: Bacteria; Pseudomonadati; Bacteroidota; Flavobacteriia; Flavobacteriales; Flavobacteriaceae
Rfam family: transfer-messenger RNA
About the family: Bacterial tmRNA, also known as 10Sa RNA or SsrA, is named for its dual tRNA and mRNA-like properties.
Source: Rfam